ACUCCUACGGGAGGCAGCAGUGGGGAAUUUUUGGACAAUGGGCGAAAGCCUGAUCCAGCCAUGCCGCGUGUCUGAAGAAGGCCUUCGGUUGUAAGGACUUUUGUUCAGGGAGCAAAACUUACUGGUUAAUACCGGUGAGGCUGAGAGUACCUGAAGAAUAAGCACCGGCUAACUACGUGCCAGCAGCCGCGGUAAU
RNAcentral lists this ribosomal RNA (196 nucleotides) under uncultured bacterium. Its description in RNAcentral is "partial 16S ribosomal RNA". It matches the Rfam family "Bacterial small subunit ribosomal RNA", at positions 335 to 524 of the family's 1533-position model. The record is from RNAcentral.